UACGGAGGAUCCGAGCGUUAUCCGGAUUUAUUGGGUUUAAAGGGUGCGUAGGCGGACUGAUAAGUCAGUGGUGAAAUGCUGCAGCUUAACUGUAGAAUUGCCGUUGAUACUGUCAGUCUUGAGUACAGUUGAGGUAGGCGGAAUGUGGUGUGUAGCGGUGAAAUGCAUAGAUAUACCACAGAACACCGAUUGCGAAGGCAGCUUACUAAAGUGUCACUGACGCUGAUGCACGAAAGCGUGGGUAUCAAACAGG
RNAcentral lists this ribosomal RNA (253 nucleotides) under uncultured bacterium. RNAcentral's name for it is "partial 16S ribosomal RNA". It matches the Rfam family "Bacterial small subunit ribosomal RNA", at positions 524 to 776 of the family's 1533-position model. The record is from RNAcentral.